GGGGAUGUAAGGCUUUCGACAAAGAUUGAUCUUUCAAAAAUCGCAAUCCGGGGUUCGCGCUGUCGCCCCGUAGAUCCGUCCAGCGCAACAUAAGUGCUGAUGCACAAGAAAUGGCUUUGGUUGCAAAACUGAAGCAGCUUAGACCAGUAAUGGCCUUUGCCUAAAUCUUUCCCCUUUAGUGGGAAAGUCGCUUACUCCCUGAUUUCUGCUGGGGGAAAUAAGUGUCACUUAGCAGGAUAAGCCUGCCGAAGCUCCGCCGGCGGGACGAAAAUUAAAGGAGAUAAGCUUUGUGAGUUUUUUGUCCGUCUUUUAUUCACAAGGCCGAAAAUUUAAAACGGACUAUGAUUGUAGAAGUUUUUGAUCGCAGUUUUUGGACCCGGGUUCAAUUCCCGGCAUCUCCACCA
RNAcentral lists this transfer-messenger RNA (404 nucleotides) under Patescibacteria group. RNAcentral's name for it is "JAGOLJ01 sp017994125 Standard tmRNA". It matches the Rfam family "transfer-messenger RNA". Rfam says of the family: Bacterial tmRNA, also known as 10Sa RNA or SsrA, is named for its dual tRNA and mRNA-like properties. RNAcentral also lists the same sequence under 1 other name. The record is from RNAcentral.